AUUGAACGCUGGCGGCAGGCCUAACACAUGCAAGUCGAACGGUAACAGGAAGCGGCUUGCUGCUUUGCUGACGAGUGGCGGGCGGGUGAGUAAUGUCUGGGAAACUGCCUGAUGGAGGGGGAUAACUACUGGAAACGGUAGCUAGUACCGCAUAACGUCGCAAGACCAAAGAGGGGGACCUUCGGGCCUCUUGCCAUCGGAUGUGCCCAGAUGGGAUUAGCUAGUAGGUGGGGUAACGGCUCACCUAGGCGACGAUCCCUAGCUGGUCUGAGAGGAUGACCAGCCACACUGGAACUGAGACACGGUCCAGACUCCUACGGGAGGCAGCAGUGGGGAAUAUUGCACAAUGGGCGCAAGCCUGAUGCAGCCAUGCCGCGUGUAUGAAGAAGGCCUUCGGGUUGUAAAGUACUUUCAGCGGGGAGGAAGGGAGUAAAGUUAAUACCUUUGCUUAUUGACGUUACCCGCAGAAGAAGCACCGGCUAACUCCGUG
This 490-nucleotide ribosomal RNA is filed under the name uncultured bacterium. Its description in RNAcentral is "partial 16S ribosomal RNA". It matches the Rfam family "Bacterial small subunit ribosomal RNA", at positions 30 to 507 of the family's 1533-position model. The record is from RNAcentral.